This 28-nucleotide non-coding RNA is filed under the name Homo sapiens (human). The record is from RNAcentral. Lineage: Eukaryota; Metazoa; Chordata; Mammalia; Primates; Hominidae.
UGCAACUCUUCUGCUGCAAAAUGGCGCC